This 22-nucleotide non-coding RNA is filed under the name Branchiostoma floridae (Florida lancelet). Its record names the gene bfl-miR-92a. RNAcentral also lists the same sequence under 4 other names. Lineage: Eukaryota; Metazoa; Chordata; Leptocardii; Amphioxiformes; Branchiostomatidae. The record is from miRBase by way of RNAcentral.
UAUUGCACUUGUCCCGGCCUUU